ACCUGGGAUAGCUCAGGAGAUAGAGCAUGAGACUGUUAAUCUCAGGGUCGUGGGUUUGAAACGAUUCUUGGACUAGAUG
Molecule: non-coding RNA, 79 nt
Organism: Podarcis lilfordi (Lilford's wall lizard)
Lineage: Eukaryota; Metazoa; Chordata; Lepidosauria; Squamata; Lacertidae
Source: the annotation of a GenBank genome assembly